Molecule: transfer RNA, 37 nt
Filed under: Gorteria antunesii
Lineage: Eukaryota; Viridiplantae; Streptophyta; Magnoliopsida; Asterales; Asteraceae
Description: Hirpicium antunesii partial tRNA-Leu
Source: RNAcentral
AAAAUCCGUCGAUUUCAAAAAUCGUGAGGGUUCCCCC